Molecule: ribosomal RNA, 367 nt
Filed under: Ctenophora environmental sample
Lineage: Eukaryota; Metazoa; Ctenophora
Description: partial Bacterial large subunit ribosomal RNA
Rfam family: Bacterial large subunit ribosomal RNA
Source: RNAcentral
UGAAAAGAACUCCUGUUAGGAGAGUGAAAUAGUACCUGAAACCAUAAGCUUACAAGCCGUAGGAGCUCUAUGCUUUUGAUUCGUCAAAAGAACGAGUGACUGUGUGCCUUUUGCAUAAUGAGCCAACGAGUUAUUGUAUAUAGCAAGGUUAAGUCCUUUUCAGGAUGAAGCCAUAGCGAAAGCGAGUUCGAAAUGAGCGUUGAGUUAUGUGCAAUAGACCCGAAACCGAGUGAUCUACCCAUGGCCAGGAUGAAGCUUCGAUAAUAUCGGAGUGGAGGUCCGAACCAGGAGGGGUUGAAAACCCUUUGGAUGAGCUGUGGGUUGGAGUGAAAGGCUAAUCAAACUCGGAGAUAGCUGGUUCUCCUCG